This 501-nucleotide long non-coding RNA is filed under the name Equus caballus (horse). RNAcentral's name for it is "lncRNA (ENSECAG00000053854.1)". The record is from RNAcentral. Lineage: Eukaryota; Metazoa; Chordata; Mammalia; Perissodactyla; Equidae.
CUUGUCCUGCAUGAUAUAUCUAGUAAAGAAGAUUGAAGACCAAAUGAAAUGAUGCCCCUUGAAAAUAUUUUAGAGAAGAGGAAAGUGAAGGAUGCUGAGGAGGAACAGUCUUUGAUGUCAGAGACAAUCCAGGAGAGCAGAGUGCUGAAAACCAGAUUAGAUAUGAAUUUCAUGACGAUUUCCUGGAAGAAAGAUGCUGGGAUGUACAACUGCAGGAAAGUAGUAGCAUGGUUUGAAGUUCAGUGGAAAAUUCCAUGGGACUAAGGACCCAAAGCCUGUAUCCUCAGCUACUCUCACCCUCCACCAGUUAUAUUGUCUCAAUGACCAAACCCUGUCAAUUCUGUUUCAGAAAUGUCACUAGAAUUUGAGCCCUCUCCACCUUUACUGCCACUGCUCUGGUUCAAGUUCUUUUCUUAGAAUCUUUUACCUACAAGACUUUCCUUCUGUCAUCCAAUCCCCCACUCCUCCCCACUCUCCACUCCACUUCAUUCCCCACUCUCC